This 492-nucleotide ribosomal RNA is filed under the name uncultured bacterium. RNAcentral describes it as "partial 16S ribosomal RNA". It matches the Rfam family "Bacterial small subunit ribosomal RNA", at positions 29 to 507 of the family's 1533-position model. The record is from RNAcentral.
AGUGAACGCUGGCGGUAGGCCUAACACAUGCAAGUCGAACGGCAGCACAGUAAGAGCUUGCUCUUACGGGUGGCGAGUGGCGGACGGGUGAGGAAUACAUCGGAAUCUACUUUUUCGUGGGGGAUAACGCAGGGAAACUUACGCUAAUACCGCAUACGACCUACGGGUGAAAGCAGGGGAUCUUCGGACCUUGCGCGAUUGUAUGAGCCGAUGUCGGAUUAGCUAGUUGGCGGGGUAAAGGCCCACCAAGGCGACGAUCCGUAGCUGGUCUGAGAGGAUGAUCAGCCACACUGGAACUGAGACACGGUCCAGACUCCUACGGGAGGCAGCAGUGGGGAAUAUUGGACAAUGGGCGCAAGCCUGAUCCAGCCAUACCGCGUGGGUGAAGAAGGCCUUCGGGUUGUAAAGCCCUUUUGUUGGGAAAGAAAAGCAGCAGGUUAAUACCCCGCUGUUCUGACGGUACCCAAAGAAUAAGCACCGGCUAACUUCGUG